CUUGGAUUCGAAGUGAAAAAGUUUCCAAAUGAAAAUACUAGUGUGUCUCGUCCUGGUUCUGGCGGUGAUGCAAAUUGGGGUCGACGCCAAACGAUGUCCCGAGGCCAACUGUGCAUGUACUAGAAUCUACGACCCUGUGUGUACCUCUAAAGGAUGUUUUUAUGCAAACAAAUGCUUGUCCGACUGCGUUCAUCAAACAGUAGUUUCUCGAGGACCAUGCAAGUGAUAAAGGUGACGAGAAAUAUUAAAACUUACUGUAAAUACGCCGUGAUUUUAUAGUGGUUUUGGCAACGAAAUUUUUAAAUUUUGAAUAUAAUAGAGUUAAUAAAGAAUUUAAUAAAAUAUAUAUUUUUAUAACAUUAAAAUUAUUUUUUACGAAUAAUAAAUGAGAACUCUUGGUAAUGCUACUAAAUCUCACGUACUCUUACGAUCUCUACGAUCGGUGCCAUUCAUAACUAUGAAUUAAUUGUCGCGACGGAACUAUCAUUAUCAAACUCGAACGAGUGAAAAGU
Manduca sexta (tobacco hornworm) is the source of this 512-nucleotide long non-coding RNA. RefSeq lists it as uncharacterized. NCBI's taxonomy places the organism in Eukaryota, Metazoa, Arthropoda, Insecta, Lepidoptera, Sphingidae. The record is from RefSeq and is a predicted model, not a curated record. The transcript has 3 exons.